This 68-nucleotide transfer RNA is filed under the name Marmota monax (woodchuck). RNAcentral's name for it is "tRNA.Ala". Lineage: Eukaryota; Metazoa; Chordata; Mammalia; Rodentia; Sciuridae. The record is from RNAcentral.
GGUUUGUGGCUCAGCGGUAGAGUGUUUGUCUAGCAUGUGCGAGGCCCUGGGUUCGGUCCUCAGCACCA